GCAGAGCAUCCUACGGGAGGCAGCAGUGGGGAAUAUUGCACAAUGGGCGCAAGCCUGAUGCAGCCAUGCCGCGUGUAUGAAGAAGGCCUUCGGGUUGUAAAGUACUUUCAGCAGUGAGGAAGGUGGGUAUGUUAAUAGCAUAUUCAUUUGACGUUUAGCUGCAGAAGAAGCACCGGCUAACUCCGUGCCCAGCAGCCGCGGUAAUACGGAGGGUGCGAGCGUUAAUCGGAAUUACUGGGCGUAAAGCGCAUGCAGGUGGUUUGUUAAGUCAGAUGUGAAAGCCCGGGGCUCAACCUCGGAAUUGCAUUUGAAACUGGCAAACUAGAGUACUGUAGAGGGGGUAGAAUUUCAGGUGUAGCGGUGAAAUGCGUAGAGAUCUGAAGGAAUACCGGUGGCGAAGGCGGCCCCCUGGACAGAUACUGACACUCAGAUGCGAAAGCGUGGGGAGCAAACAGGAUUAGAUACCCUGGUAG
This 473-nucleotide ribosomal RNA is filed under the name uncultured bacterium. RNAcentral describes it as "bacterial SSU rRNA". It matches the Rfam family "Bacterial small subunit ribosomal RNA", at positions 329 to 793 of the family's 1533-position model. The record is from RNAcentral.